Molecule: ribosomal RNA, 445 nt
Filed under: uncultured bacterium
Lineage: Bacteria
Description: partial 16S ribosomal RNA
Rfam family: Bacterial small subunit ribosomal RNA
Source: RNAcentral
CGAACGCUGGCGGCAGGCCUAAUACAUGCAAGUCGAACGGCUCUUCGGAGCAGUGGCGGACGGGUGAGUAACGCGUGGGAAUGUGCCCUUAGGUACGGAACAACACAGGGAAACUUGUGCUAAUACCGUAUGUGCCCUUCGGGGGAAAGAUUUAUCGCCUUUGGAGCAGCCCGCGUUGGAUUAGGUAGUUGGUGAGGUAAAGGCUCACCAAGCCGACGAUCCAUAGCUGGUCUGAGAGGAUGACCAGCCACCCUGGGACUGAGACACGGCCCAGACUCCUACGGGAGGCAGCAGUAGGGAAUCUUGCGCAAUGGGCGAAAGCCUGACGCAGCCAUGCCGCGUGUAUGAUGAAGGUCUUAGGAUUGUAAAAUACUUUCGCCGGGGAAGAUAAUGACGGUACCCGGAGAAGAAGCCCCGGCUAACUUCGUGCCAGCAGCCGCGGUAA